Molecule: long non-coding RNA, 2487 nt
Filed under: Mus musculus (house mouse)
Lineage: Eukaryota; Metazoa; Chordata; Mammalia; Rodentia; Muridae
Description: long non-coding RNA chr1:178191662-178194149
Source: RNAcentral
UUUCCUCCCAACUUGCUUCUUGCUCAUGGUGUUUGUGCGGGAAUAGAAACCCUGACUAACACAUUGCUUUAACAGUCUUUAUUUUUCAUAGAUCCAGAAUUUGUAUAUUUCAGCCUAUCUCAGCCACUAAUGUAUUUCUUAAAAAUUAAAAUAUGCAAGUCAAAAUAAGUUUAUACAAUCUAGAAAGAAGUUAAGGUUCUUCCUUUUUAAAAAUAGUGCCUAUGUGUUUUCAAAGUCUUUAAAAAAUAGAAAACAGGCACCCUAGAACUCCUCCAAUUAGGACAUUUAUUUCUGCCUGGAUUCCAUUGUUUUGGCCUGAUUCUCAGACUCCUCCAAGAGAGUUUGAAGUUAUGAAGGUGUGAUAAGGUAUGUCUUUUCAUACAUCUGUAGAUUGAAAUUAAACUUACUAAAUGAGGUCUGUGUACACUCAUCUAUUAUAUACUAAAUACACUCUUUGAUAAUCAGUUCCAUGAAAUCUGCGAAUCCACAUGUCUAGCAGCAGACAUCCCCUCCUCCCUCCCUCCUUUCUAUGCCUUCCUAUGCUUUUCUCUCCCACUAUGUACUCCCCACCCCCCCAGCCCCAAUUUCCACCUCUACUACUUUUUAUAACCAACAUUCUACUCAGCAUCUCAAACCAAAAACUUGGACGUAAGCCUAAGUAGCUAUUAUAAACCCUUCACAGUCAGUCACUCGGCCUGGUCCAACUUAGUUUUGGUUGGUCAGUGUAAAAGUAACAGAACUUGACAAUCAGCAGCUUAAAUUGGAAAGAUACUGUUUUAAAUCCAGAGGUUAAAAAGAGAUAGUUUAGGCCAGGCGUGGUGGCACACACCUUUAAUACCAGCACUCAGGAGGCAGAGGCAGGCGGAUUUCUGAGUUCGAGGCCAGCCUGUUCUACAAAGUGAGUUCCAGGACAGUUUUUCUAUACAGAGAAACCCUGUCUCAACCCCUCCCCCCCCCAAAAAAAAGAGAUAGUUUAGCAGCUCAGUCAUAUUAAGAUUUUGCAACCUUCUACUCAUCUCUGCUCAACUUGCUGGCGUUUCUCUUUGAUUUGUGCCUUCACAGUUACUGCCAUAAUGAUUUAGUGUCACUAAAUUUAGUGUCAUCAUAUAACAAAAUGUGGAAGUUCAAUGUAUUGAGGAUGGGGACAGUUCUACCUGUACCUCUAUUCUAAGAGAGUCUUUCCUUCCAGAGAUUGUUCAGAAUUUACUUCGGUGUAACUAUGCUGCACCUGAAUAAGUAGAUUGCUGGCUUCUUGCCUCUAUAGGCAACUUUGUCCAUCAUACAUUUGACUUUCUGAAUUGUUUGCCCACAAGCACAUGUGGAGGUCGAACAGCCUCAGGUGUCAUGCCUCAGGUGCUCUCUACUUUUUUUUUUUUUUUUUAAGAUGAGGUUUCUAAUUGGCCUAGAUCCAUCUGUCUCUGCCUGUCCUGUGUUUCUAUUACAAAUUCUAUCAUGCUUGAGGCUGGAGAGAUGGCCUAGUGAUUAAGAGCCCUAACCACUCUUUCAGAAAGACUUGGGUUCAAUUCCCAGCACCCACAUUGCAGCUCACAACUGUCCCUCAGUUCCAGGGGAUCCAGUACUCUCGCAAAGACAUUCGUACAGGUAAAACACCAAUGUUCAUAAAAAUAAAAAUUUAGGAAAAAAAUCCAAAUGUUAUCAUGCUUGCCUUUGAGGGGAGUGUGGUAAGACAGUCUUUCACUAUGUAGCACACCAGGCUGGCCUAGUACUCGUAGAGAAUCUCCUGUUUCUGCCUUCUGAGUCCUAGAAUUCAAGGUGUGUGCCUCCAUGCCCUCCAGCUGUUGUUUUAAACAUAGGCUCUGGAGAGUGAACUCAGAUCCUUAUGCUUGCCAGGCAAGCGCUUUACCAACAGAGCCACUCUGCUAUCCCCAACUUUUUGAAUAUUUAAAAAUUUUCAAAUUAGAUUUGUUUUUCUUUAUUCUUGUUUUACCUGCCAGCAUGUACUUUGUUGUUGUUGUUGUUGCUCCAUUGUUUAGUUGAUUGGUUGAUUUUGAAACAGAAUCUGAUGUUGGCCAAGCUUGUCCUGAAUUCCUGAUCUUUAUUCCUUAAGUUGGCGUGUCUUUUAAGGGCUUGUCUCACUAAACAGGGACCCAUCUAUAAAUUUCAGUCACUUCACUAUAGAAAGACUUUGAGUUACAUCUAUAGUCUUCUGCCAUAUUAUAUAUUCACAGAUUUGGGGCAUUAGGUUGUGGUUAUCUUUGGGAGUCAUUGCACCUACCACACUAUCAAUGAAAGAUAUAAUUAUAAUCCCCAAAUAGUGUUCCUCUUAGUAGUUCCUUGACUUUUCAUAGAGUGACUUUUAGCCUAGUAACUAAAAGUAGAAUUUGGAAGCAUACAAAAGAAUUAAUAUAGAAAUCAUUUAUGAUUGGGAAGUACUCAGAGGUCAAUUAUUUGCAAGCAUAUCGGUAACUAAAGGUGUAGGGGCAUUGUAUUAGCUACUUUUUCUCAUUACAGUAGUAAAAUUUCUAA